This 466-nucleotide ribosomal RNA is filed under the name uncultured bacterium. RNAcentral's name for it is "partial 16S ribosomal RNA". It matches the Rfam family "Bacterial small subunit ribosomal RNA", at positions 28 to 507 of the family's 1533-position model. The record is from RNAcentral.
GAUGAACGCUGGCGGCGUGCUUAACACAUGCAAGUCGAACGAUGAAGCCCAGCUUGCUGGGUGGAUUAGUGGCGAACGGGUGAGUAACACGUGAGUAACCUGCCCUUAACUCUGGGAUAAGCCUGGGAAACUGGGUCUAAUACCGGAUAGGAGCGUCCACCGCAUGGUGGGUGUUGGAAAGAUUUAUCGGUUUUGGAUGGACACGCGGCCUAUCAGCUUGUUGGUGAGGUAAUGGCUCACCAAGGCGACGACGGGUAGCCGGCCUGAGAGGGUGACCGGCCACACUGGGACUGAGACACGGCCCAGACUCCUACGGGAGGCAGCAGUGGGGAAUAUUGCACAAUGGGCGAAAGCCUGAUGCAGCGACGCCGCGUGAGGGAUGACGGCCUUCGGGUUGUAAACCUCUUUCAGUAGGGAAGAAGCGAAAGUGACGGUACCUGCAGAAGAAGCACCGGCUAACUACGUG